ACGAACGCUGGCGGCGCGCCUAACACAUGCAAGUCGAACGAGCGAGAGAGAGCUUGCUUUCUCGAGCGGGUGGCGAACGGGUGAGUAACGCGUGAGGAACCUGCCUCAAAGAGGGGGACAACAGUUGGAAACGACUGCUACUACCGCAUAAGCACACGGGUCGGCAUCGACCAGAGGGAAAAGGAGCAAUCCGCCUUGAGAUGGCCGCGCGUCCGUAUAGCUAGUUGGGGGGGUAACGGCCCACCAAGGCGACGAUCGGUAGCCGGACUGAGAGGGUGAACGGCCACAUUGGGACUGAGACACGGCCAAGACUCCUACGGGAGGCAGCAUUUGGGAAUAUUGCACAAUGGGGGAAACCCUGAUGCAGCGACGCCGCGUGGAGGAAGAAGGUCUUCGGAUUGUAAACUCCUGUUGUUGGGGAAGAUAAUGACGGUACCCAACAAGGAAGUGACGGCUAACUACGUGCCAGCCGCCGCCGUAA
Molecule: ribosomal RNA, 481 nt
Filed under: uncultured bacterium
Lineage: Bacteria
Description: partial 16S ribosomal RNA
Rfam family: Bacterial small subunit ribosomal RNA
Source: RNAcentral